Molecule: non-coding RNA, 115 nt
Organism: Trichonephila clavipes
Lineage: Eukaryota; Metazoa; Arthropoda; Arachnida; Araneae; Nephilidae
Source: the annotation of a GenBank genome assembly
ACGGCCAUACCAUGAUGAAAACACCGGUUCUCGUCCGAUCACCGUAAAGUUAAGCAUCAUCGGGCGCGGUUAAUACUUCAAAAGGGUGACCACCUGGGAUCACUGCGUGCUGUUG